This 319-nucleotide unclassified non-coding RNA is filed under the name plant metagenome. Its description in RNAcentral is "partial contains 5.8S ribosomal RNA, internal transcribed spacer 2, and large subunit ribosomal RNA". The stretch from base 1 to 104 matches the Rfam family "5.8S ribosomal RNA", at positions 51 to 154 of the family's 154-position model. The record is from RNAcentral.
AAAUGCGAUAAGUAGUGUGAAUUGCAGAAUUCAGUGAUUCAUCGAAUCUUUGAACGCACAUUGCGCCCCUCGGUAUUCCGUGGGGCAUGCCUGUUCGAGCGUCAUUACAACCCUCAGGCCCCCGGGCCUGGCGUUGGGGAUCGGCGGAAGCCCCCUGCGGGCACAACGCCGUCCCCCAAAUACAGUGGCGGUCCCGCCGCAGCUUCCAUUGCGUAGUAGCUAACACCUCGCAACUGGAGAGCGGCGCGGCCACGCCGUAAAACACCCAACUUCUGAAUGUUGACCUCGAAUCAGGUAGGAAUACCCGCUGAACUUAAGC